This 468-nucleotide ribosomal RNA is filed under the name uncultured bacterium. RNAcentral's name for it is "partial 16S ribosomal RNA". It matches the Rfam family "Bacterial small subunit ribosomal RNA", at positions 28 to 507 of the family's 1533-position model. The record is from RNAcentral.
GACGAACGCUGGCGGCGUGCUUAACACAUGCAAGUCGAACGGAAAGGCCCUGCUUUUGUGGGGUGCUCGAGUGGCGAACGGGUGAGUAACACGUGAGUAACCUGCCCUUGACUUUGGGAUAACUUCAGGAAACUGGGGCUAAUACCGGAUAGGAGCUCCUGCUGCAUGGUGGGGGUUGGAAAGUUUCGGCGGUUGGGGAUGGACUCGCGGCUUAUAAGCUUGUUGGUGGGGUAGUGGCUUACCAAGGCUUUGACGGGUAGCCGGCCUGAGAGGGUGACCGGCCACAGUGGGACUGAGAUACGGCCCAGACUCCUACGGGAGGCAGCAGUGGGGAAUAUUGCACAAUGGGCGGAAGCCUGAUGCAGCAACGCCGCGUGCGGGAUGACGGCCUUCGGGUUGUAAACCGCUUUCGCCUGUGACGAAGCGUGAGUGACGGUAAUGGGUAAAGAAGCACCGGCUAACUACGUG